UACGUAGGUGGCAAGCGUUGUCCGGAUUUACUGGGCGUACAGCGCGCGCAGGCGGUUGCGUAUGUGAGCGGUGACAUCCGCGGGCUCAACCCGCGGCGGCCCGCUUACACAGCGCGACUGGAGGCAGGGAGAGGGAUGUGGAAUACCCGGUGGAGCGGUGAAAUGCGUAGAGAUCGGGUGGAACACCAGCGGCGAAGGCGGCAUCCUGGCCCUGUACUGACGCUGAGGCGCGAUAGCGUGGGGAGCAAACGGG
RNAcentral lists this ribosomal RNA (253 nucleotides) under uncultured bacterium. RNAcentral's name for it is "partial 16S ribosomal RNA". It matches the Rfam family "Bacterial small subunit ribosomal RNA", at positions 524 to 776 of the family's 1533-position model. The record is from RNAcentral.